AAAUUGAAGAGUUUGAUCAUGGCUCAGAUUGAACGCUGGCGGCAGGCCUAACACAUGCAAGUCGAACGGUAACAGGAAGCAGCUUGCUGCUUUGCUGACGAGUGGCGGACGGGUGAGUAAUGUCUGGGAAACUGCCUGAUGGAGGGGGAUAACUACUGGAAACGGUAGCUAAUACCGCAUAACGUCGCAAGACCAAAGAGGGGGACCUUCGGGCCUCUUGCCAUCGGAUGUGCCCAGAUGGGAUUAGCUUGUUGGUGGGGUAACGGCUCACCAAGGCGACGAUCCCUAGCUGGUCUGAGAGGAUGACCAGCCACACUGGAA
Molecule: ribosomal RNA, 321 nt
Filed under: Escherichia coli
Lineage: Bacteria; Pseudomonadati; Pseudomonadota; Gammaproteobacteria; Enterobacterales; Enterobacteriaceae
Description: bacterial SSU rRNA
Rfam family: Bacterial small subunit ribosomal RNA
Source: RNAcentral